ACGGAGGGUGCGAGCGUUGUCCGGAAUCACUGGGCGUAAAGGGCGCGUAGGCGGCCUGCUAUGUCGAACGUGAAAUCCCCGGGCUCAACCCGGGAACUGCGUCCGAUACUGGAUGGCUUGAAUUCGGGAGAGGGAUGCAGAAUUCCAGGUGUAGCGGUGAAAUGCGUAGAUAUCUGGAGGAAUACCGGUGGCGAAGGCGGCAUCCUGGACCGAUACUGACACUGAUGAGCGAAAGCCAGGGGAGCAAACGGGA
Molecule: ribosomal RNA, 253 nt
Filed under: uncultured prokaryote
Description: partial 16S ribosomal RNA
Rfam family: Bacterial small subunit ribosomal RNA
Source: RNAcentral